This 613-nucleotide non-coding RNA is filed under the name Linnemannia elongata AG-77. Its description in RNAcentral is "Mortierella elongata AG-77 Eukaryotic large subunit ribosomal RNA". The stretch from base 1 to 536 matches the Rfam family "Eukaryotic large subunit ribosomal RNA", at positions 2795 to 3401 of the family's 3401-position model. The record is from Rfam by way of RNAcentral. Lineage: Eukaryota; Fungi; Mortierellomycota; Mortierellomycetes; Mortierellales; Mortierellaceae.
UUCUUGGAGUGCCAUAAAAAUUCUUUUAGACAGGAAUAACUGGCUUGUGGCAGCCAAGCGUUCAAGGGACGUUGCCUUUUGAUCCUUCGAUGUCAGCCCUUCCAAUCAUAAUGUAGAGUUCAGUAAGCUUCGGAUUGUUCACUUACUCAUAAGGAAUGCGAGCCGGGUUUAGAUCGUCGUGAGACAGGUUAGUUUAACCUACUGAUGAAAAGUUGUGCAAUAGUAAUUGAACUUGGUACAAGAGGAACCGUUCAUUAGGAUAAUUGGUAUUUGGGCCUGCCUGAGCAGGCAAUGGCCCGAAACUAUCAUCCGUUGGGUUUGGCUGAAUGCCUCCAAGUCAAAACCUGUGCUAGAGCGCGACGAUUACCGCUUUGGACCGAGAGUCUAUUCGUAUUCAACUAGAACUAACCUGUCUAACGACGAUUCGAACCCACAUCUCGUUCCCUGUUACUUGCGUGAACGAUCGAACACUUGCUGAAUUCUGGUUUAGUAUGAUAACAAGAGCCGGCAUGAAAGGAUCAAAAAGUAAUUUCACUCUGAGCAAUACAGGCCAGUCAGUGACCCUUAGAACGUUUUCAUGAAUUUUCUUUUUUAACUCCUGGGUUUUCUUUUC